Molecule: ribosomal RNA, 433 nt
Filed under: uncultured bacterium
Lineage: Bacteria
Description: partial 16S ribosomal RNA
Rfam family: Bacterial small subunit ribosomal RNA
Source: RNAcentral
AACGAACGCUGGCGGCAUGCCUAACACAUGCAAGUCGAACGAGACCUUCGGGUCUAGUGGCGCACGGGUGCGUAACGCGUGGGAACCUGCCCGUAGGUUCGGAAUAACUCCCCGAAAGGUGUGCUAAUACCGGAUAAUGUCUUCGGACCAAAGAUUUUUCGCCUUUGGAUGGGCCCGCGUUGGAUUAGCUAGUUGGUAGGGUAAAAGCCUACCAAGGCGACGAUCCAUAGCUGGUCUGAGAGGAUGAUCAGCCACACUGGGACUGAGACACGGCCCAGACUCCUACGGGAGGCAGCAGUAGGGAAUAUUGGACGAGGGAGGAAAGCGUGAUCAAGCAAUGCCGCGUGAGUGAUGAAGGCCUUAGGGUUGUAAAGCUCUUUUACCCGAGAUGAUAAUGACAGUACCGGGAGAAUAAGCACCGGCUAACUCCGUG